AGGAGGGGUCCCGCACUGGGAG
Molecule: microRNA, 22 nt
Filed under: Pongo abelii (Sumatran orangutan)
Lineage: Eukaryota; Metazoa; Chordata; Mammalia; Primates; Hominidae
Also listed under: 1 other name
Description: Pab-Mir-1914_3p* (star (passenger))
Source: RNAcentral